GGACGACCAGCCACACUGGAACUGAGACACGCUCCAGACUCCUACGGGAGGCAGCAGUGGGGAAUUUUGGACAAUGGGGGCAACCCUGAUCCAGCCAUUCCGCGUGAGUGAAGAAGGCCUUCGGGUUGUAAAGCUCUUUCAGCAGGAACGAAACGGUGGCCCCUAAUACGGGCUACUAAUGACGGUACCUGAAGAAGAAGCACCGGCUAACUACGUGCCAGCAGCCGCGGUAAUACGUAGGGUGCGAGCGUUAAUCGGAAUUACUGGGCGUAAAGCGUGCGCAGGCGGUUCCAUAAGACAGAUGUGAAAUCCCCGGGCUUAACCUGGGAACUGCGUUUGUGACUGUGGGACUGGAGUGUGGCAGAGGGGGGUGGAAUUCCACGUGUAGCAGUGAAAUGCGUAGAGAUGUGGAGGAACACCGAUGGCGAAGGCAGCCCCCUGGGUCAACACUGACGCUCAUGCACGAAAGCGUGGGGAGCAAACAGGAUUAGAUACCCUGGUAGUCCACGCCCUAAACGAUGCGAACUAGGUGUUGGGGAAGGAGACUUCCUUAGUACCGCAGCUAACGCGUGAAGUUCGCCGCCUGGGGAGUACGGUCGCAAGAUUAAAACUCAAAGGAAUUGACGGGGACCCGCACAAGCGGUGGAUGAUGUGGAUUAAUUCGAUGCAACGCGAAAAACCUUACCUACCCUUGACAUGCCAGGAAGUCCGCUGAGAGGUGGAUGUGCCCGAAAGGGAACCUGGACACAGGUGCUGCAUGGCUGUCGUCAGCUCGUGUCGUGAGAUGUUGGGUUAAGUCCCGCAACGAGCGCAACCCUUGUCAUUAAUUGCCAUCAUUCAGUUGGGCACUUUAAUGAGACUGCCGGUGACAAACCGGAGGAAGGUGGGGAUGACGUCAAGUCCUCAUGGCCCUUAUGGGUAGGGCUCACAUGUCAUACAAUGGUCGGUACAGAGGGUUGCCAACCCGCGAGGGGGAGCCAAUCCCACAAAGCCGAUCGUAGUCCGGAUCGCAGUCUGCAACUCGACUGCGUGAAGUCGGAAUCGCUAGUAAUCGUGGAUCAGCAUGUCACGGUGAAUACGUUCCCGGGUCUUGUACACACCGCCCGUCACACCAUGGGAGUGGGUUCCACCAGAAGUAGGUAGUCUAACCGCAAGGAGGGCGCUUACCACGGUGGGAUUCAUGACUGGGGUGAAGUCGUAACAAGGUA
Molecule: ribosomal RNA, 1208 nt
Filed under: metagenome
Description: bacterial SSU rRNA
Rfam family: Bacterial small subunit ribosomal RNA
Source: RNAcentral